Molecule: ribosomal RNA, 251 nt
Filed under: Chloropicon mariensis
Lineage: Eukaryota; Viridiplantae; Chlorophyta; Chloropicophyceae; Chloropicales; Chloropicaceae
Description: partial Bacterial large subunit ribosomal RNA
Rfam family: Bacterial large subunit ribosomal RNA
Source: RNAcentral
GGUCGAAAGACGUAGUCGAUGGAUAACAGGUAAAGAUUCCUGUACUAUAUCAUAACAGAACUGUGGGGACGCAGACAGAGAGCAUAAGCCGGGAAUGGAAAAACCGGUACAAGCGAGGUAGGAGUGCAUCAGGCAAAUCCGGUGCACAAUCUGAAGACGUGAUGUGGGGCGUAAAGCCAUAAGUAUGUGAGCUGGCUGCCAAGAAAAGCCGCUAUUGUUCAUAUGAUACCCGUACCGUAAACCGACACAGG